AACAUCGCGCACCUGCGGGAACCUGCGGAAGGAUCAUCAAAGAAUUUUCCAAAGAGAAAAUUGAGUUGCUCCUUUUCUUGUAAAAGAGAGAGAGAAGCGCUCUUUUUUCUCCAAACAAACGAUCACAACUAUUGAAAAAAUAAUUGACUUGGUUGGUUGAUGAGAAAUUAUAAGUGUUUGCCUGAUAAUUUGAUGAUUUGGAAACAAGAGAAAGAAAUACAACUUUUAGCAAUGGAUCUC
RNAcentral lists this unclassified non-coding RNA (240 nucleotides) under soil metagenome. RNAcentral describes it as "partial contains 5.8S ribosomal RNA, internal transcribed spacer 2, and large subunit ribosomal RNA". The record is from RNAcentral.